This 28-nucleotide small RNA is filed under the name Bombyx mori (domestic silkworm). Its description in RNAcentral is "ovarian small RNA-16463". Lineage: Eukaryota; Metazoa; Arthropoda; Insecta; Lepidoptera; Bombycidae. The record is from RNAcentral.
GCAGAGAAGAAAUGGUGGCCUGCAUCUC